Molecule: long non-coding RNA, 1339 nt
Organism: Nicotiana tabacum (common tobacco)
Lineage: Eukaryota; Viridiplantae; Streptophyta; Magnoliopsida; Solanales; Solanaceae
Source: RefSeq, a predicted model, not a curated record
CUAAAUCAAUUUCCUACUCACCAGCUGCCCCAUUUCCCCUUUCCUCCCUCGCUCUUAGCGUCCUCUCUCGUAUGCCAUACCUGAACCUCGCACAAAUUAGUGCAAAGUCACUGAAAGACAACUAGAAGACCAAUAUCAUUACCCUCCAACCGCCAAUGUAGCCGAAAUUCCCAUUUUCAUCAUCCCUUUUCAAACCCCCAAUUUUGAAACCCUAGCCUAAAAUGUGAAAGGUUCCAAAUCUCAUCAUCACACCUUUUGCUAUUCAAAAUCGCCAAUAAUAUAUGGCAAGCAUUUCAGAUUCAUGAGGAUCUCCGACCUCAUCGUGAUGUAUGACGACCCAUAGGUCAAACGAAGGACCUCUGGGUAAGAGCUUUAUCCAAAGGUCACCAGCCUCAACGGCUAACUUAUUUCGUCACUUCUAAGGGUAAAAUUGUCACUCUUUUCUUUCGCCCCUCUGAUUUCAUCAUGCAUCAAUUCUGUCAUGUGAUUCUUUUAUCAACACUCAUUAUGGUUAUUUGUUUUCUAUCAAUUUUUGAAUCUUCAAACCUCAAAACCUAAAGGCAAUCCUUGGCUAUAAAUACCGACUUCAAUUGCCGCACCUAACAUCGGAGAACUAGUAAUAAAUGAAAAUAUACUAAAGUAUAAAUCUCUCUGCCUAUCGCUUACAAUUUUGUUUUCCUUUCUUUUCAUUUCUGGUUGAGCUUAAUCGUCUUAAAGUAGACUGUUGAGCAUUGAUUCCUACAACUAAGGUCAAUUACUCGGUUUGCUGCCCUAAGGAAGGAAUAUCGAAAAAAAUAGUCGAAUGAAAAUUGCACAAAAAAAAGGACAAAAAAUGCAAGAAAAGAGCGCAAAAGCAUCAAGUACCCAAACCGUGCUACAGGCCAAGUAAAGCCAGCUUGACCGUGCUACAGACCAGGAUUCGUGAGGUCUAUAGCCAUCUUGACCGUGCUAUAGACCAGGCUUCGCGAGGUCUAUUGCCAGGUUGACUGCGCUAUAAGUCUGGCCUCACGAGGUCUAUAGCUCGGUAAUUAAAAGUCGCAGGUUAAAAGACUCCGACCCGGAUUUGGACUUAAGGACUUCAACCCUAGUCUAUAAAUACUCCCUAAACAUGUCUGGCCAAAGGAGAUGACGUUUUUAGAGCAGAUUCGACCAAAAAGGACACUAUUUUGGAGAAGAAAAAGGCUACAGAUCACGGUGGAGCAAGAAUCAAACGACAAUUCCCUCCGUUUAUCUCUGUACUUUGUAGUUUAAUGUCUUUGAACAUCAUGAUGAUUGUUGAUACAUUUAUGAGUAGCUAAAGUUUCUAAUCUAGGGUUUGAUGGAACCUAUUGGAGGAUGA